UAUGGCGUAGUGGCUCAGACUUUUCUCGUAACUGUUCGUAUUUACCCGUCUACAAAAGAACUUCGGUUAUUAAAAACGGGUGGGAAAUUCGGUGGUUCACUCCAUUCAAUUCAUUAUGAAUUAACAUUUGCUCUUGAGAGUUCCUGGCGUGAAACGCUGGUUGGUAGCAUCAGAAAACAACAGAUUUAUCUGUAUGGGAGCUACCAAUGAAUGGUUGACCUUCAUGGUUAUUAAGUGCAAUAUACGGACUUCAUUUGAAGAACUCGAUACCGAUCAUAGUUAUGAGUUUAG
This is a non-coding RNA of Yamadazyma jaroonii, 291 nucleotides long. NCBI's taxonomy places the organism in Eukaryota, Fungi, Ascomycota, Pichiomycetes, Serinales, Debaryomycetaceae. The record is from the annotation of a GenBank genome assembly.